GUGGGGUAGUGGCUUACCAAGGCUUUGACGGGUAGCCGGCCUGAGAGGGUGACCGGCCACAUUGGGACUGAGAUACGGCCCAGACUCCUACGGGAGGCAGCAGUGGGGAAUAUUGCACAAUGGGCGGAAGCCUGAUGCAGCAACGCCGCGUGCGGGAUGACGGCCUUCGGGUUGUAAACCGCUUUCGCCUGUGACGAAGCGUGAGUGACGGUAAUGGGUAAAGAAGCACCGGCUAACUACGUGCCAGCAGCCGCGGUGAUACGUAGGGUGCGAGCGUUGUCCGGAUUUAUUGGGCGUAAAGGGCUCGUAGGUGGUUGAUCGCGUCGGAAGUGUAAUCUUGGGGCUUAACCCUGAGCGUGCUUUCGAUACGGGUUGACUUGAGGAAGGUAGGGGAGAAUGGAAUUCCUGGUGGAGCGGUGGAAUGCGCAGAUAUCAGGAGGAACACCAGUGGCGAAGGCGGUUCUCUGGGUAGUAACUGACGCUGAGGAGCGAAAGCAUGGGUAGCGAACAGGAUUAGAUACCCUGGUAGUCCAUGCCGUAAACGGUGGGCGCUAGGUGUGGGGUUCCUUCCACGGGCUCCGCGCCGUAGCUAACGCAUUAAGCG
Molecule: ribosomal RNA, 604 nt
Filed under: uncultured Actinomycetes bacterium
Lineage: Bacteria; Bacillati; Actinomycetota; Actinomycetes
Description: bacterial SSU rRNA
Rfam family: Bacterial small subunit ribosomal RNA
Source: RNAcentral